Molecule: long non-coding RNA, 6431 nt
Organism: Mytilus trossulus (common blue mussel)
Lineage: Eukaryota; Metazoa; Mollusca; Bivalvia; Mytilida; Mytilidae
Exons: 3
Source: RefSeq, a predicted model, not a curated record
AUAUGCAAUGUAUUGGAGCUUAAACUUCACUCAGGAGUAAUAAAAGAUCAUAUAAAAUAUAUACGAACAUUUUCCUUUUCUCAAGAGCAGCAGCAACAAGAAACCAUUACAAGACUAGAAUUUGUUUAUCAAAUGAGAUGAAUUAUUUCCGUUUCUAAAACCAUUUGAAAGACCCCAACUGGAAGCAGUGACAUACCGCUACACAUACUCUUACUACACUUAAGGACUAUACGUGAAAAUUGUCUGUCUACCAAGUAUCAUCAGUGACCUGCAGGACAACAGAUCGGUAGAUCAUAUCAUAUACAAUAUUUCUUUCCAGUUUUAUACAUGUUCAAAAUGUCUGCAAAAUCAUUCAUCUUAUAUUUUGGAUUGUUUGCUACAAUAACAUGGUCUUUAACAACAUCAGAAAAAGUUGACAAAUGUCCGGUAGGUCAUGAGCAAAGAAGUGAACAUCAGAGGGAAGUAUGCGACAAUGCAACAUGGUACCAUUGCAUUCCUGAUGCUAAAUGUCAACUUCAUCAAUUUUGUGCUAUUCCACAAAAAUCAAAACCAAUGAACACACUCUAUAUAUUUAGUGGUUUGGCACAAAAUGAACCUAAAGUGAAUUUUCCGUCCACGAAUACAGAGUUGUAUGGGGAUUUAAGCUUGUUCUUCUGCAAGUACUCGUCAAGGAAAACUUUAAACGAAUUAUUUACAAACAUUCUUAAACGGCUAGAUACUAAUGCUGAUAUAAUUAAUUCAUUUAAAGUACCUUGCAUAAAACCUUAUCAAGAACAUGUACUGCCUGCGUUGGAUAGUUGUGAGAUGAAAUUUAAAUGCGCAGAAACAAGAAAAGUGAUGGACUUUAAACUAUUAGUGUUUCACAAUAGAAAACUGAUAUCCCACGAUUUUGAUAUGGGUCUGUCAAAUCGAACGGAUUAUUAUAAAGUCGGUUUUUUACUAUGUGUUUUAAGUAAUGAGAAAUUUUAUGAUUUCAAAUUGGAAUCAGAAAGCAGCCCUCCAAUCAAAGACUCUGUCUCGAAUAGUCCUAGGGAUGAACUGUCUAUCUAUGGAAUACUCGCUGGAUUCCUUGUGCAUUUAGUUUUAUGAGAGAGACAGCUAAUCUAUUUUAUGAAAGUUUCCUGUGAUCUUGCUGGUAAUUUUCUUUCUUUUAAGUUGUGAUAAAUCUCCUUAAAGGGGCACUAGCUACGAGAUAUAUAAAAAAUCUAAUAUAUCAUAUUUUUUGGCUCAAUCAUAAAUGAAAUGCAAAUAAUACAAUAAUGAUUCGCUUUUAGCAGCCAGUAUGGUUCAAUUUUGUUAAUUGUUUAUUUUAGACUUUUAAUAGUUUGGAUAAAUGUUUUACAUGGUUAUAAAUCAAAUAAGAGAAUUUGAUUAAAAUCGGUGCACAUGAAUUUGACAGCUAGUGUCCGUUAAACGAAAGACCAACUGCAUUUUUUUUUACUUUUACAUUUUAUAUUUAUUUUGAAAGUUUUAAAAGUUUUGUUAAGUGUUUAAAUGAAUGUUUAUUAAUAAUCAAUACUGAAGUAUUUUAUAUUUCUUAUUUUAGUGUCCGUAUUGUACAAUAUAACGUUUUAGAUAGUCUCUCAUACACAUGCAACUGUUUUAAGAGUAGCUUUUGUAUGUUUUAUGAUUAUGUUUUAUUAAAUAUUGGUAUUUUAAAAAAAGUAUUGUUCUAUCUUGUGUUUAUAAUAAUACUAACAAUAAUUAUGGUGCUAAAAUGAUUAAAUCUAUGUGUAGACGAACAAGUUGUAAAAUAGAUAUUGAGCUAUUAAUGAAGGUCUAGUAGUGUUUUUUUUAUGGGGACAUUGCAUUUGCACAAUUUUUUUAAAAUCCAAUCUUUCAUUUGCGCCACAAGGUUAUAUUUCAAUUCCACUAAACUAUAAAAACUACAUUUGCGCCAUUUCACAGGUAAUGCAGGUACAUGUAAAAUAUAACGGAAAAGUUAAAUACUUAUUGCUUUAGUGUGAAUCAGAUUUGUUUCUACAGUAUUUCUCCUGGACUAUUGUUCAGACUCAUUUCUAACACAAAACUGAGAUUUAGAAUUAUAAAGUUAUGAAAAUUAUGGACAUUGUCAUGUCAAAGACAAACAAAAGUCUGUAUUUUUAUGAUCACCAAUACGUUAAAAACCUAAUCAUGUAUAUAUGCAUCAUAUUAAAAAUAGUUAAGGUGUACCAUAAAACUUGCAAAGCCAGGAUAGCAACGGACGGAAAUAUAGGUUUACUAUAGCUAUAGUGUAUAAUGCUUAGAACUGCAUGACUCGUAAUUUUACUUCUUUUUAAAUAUGUUCAAAGUAACAGAACUGUGUUUUAACUAAGUUUUAACAUAACUUGUAUGGUUUCAUGAAACUGAUUUCUGAGGAAUAUGCUUAUUACGCAAAAAAUUCUUAAAUACUUUUUACCUGUAUUAUUGGCGCAAAUUAAAGUUUUUAUUUUUGGCGCAAAUGAAAUGCCUCUUGGCACAAAAGCAAAGCACCGGUUUUUUGCUAUCUUUGAUUAUAAAAGAACAGAACACAUUCUGUAUUUAAAUGGUAAAAGUUAAAAUUUCGAGAGAAGAAUAUUUUUGGUCUGUUGAAGAAAAUUGUAAGUUAUAUGUAAGGUUCUAUGUUUUUUUUCUCACAAAUACUGAUGCAAUUUUCUUUCACUUUUUUUUUAAACUUUGCAAUACUUGCUUUUUUAUGUAUCUCUGUCCUGUUUUUUUCUCUCACUCUUUUCGGUCCAGCCUUUUUAGAUAAGUUCAUCCUGACUUUUUUAUAUGGAUUGUUAUUCUGCCUUUUUUGCAAAGUAUCUCAUUCUGCCUUUGUUUUACUCAAAACUCCUGUCCUGCUUUUUUUUCAAAUUUAAUCGUAGCCCCCCGUUUCCCCCAUAAAAAUCAAACGGUAACUCCCUUACAUAUUCUGACAUCAGACACGGACUUCUAUUAAACUGAGCUUUACUGUGCGUAUUGCUGUUUUUUUUUUUAACAUUUGGCCAGAGUUAUAGGGGGUGGGUUGAUAUCUUAUUAAACAUGCUUAACCCUGCCGCAUUUUUGCGCCUGUCCCAAGUCAGGAACCUCUGUCUUUUCUUAGUCUUGUAUGUUUGUUUUUAAAAUUUAGUUCAUUUACAUGUUUUGAAGCUUAAUAGGACAUCCAUUUUCACUAAUACCCAUUUUUGUUUAUGGACCAGCUGAAGUUCGCCUGCGGAUACGGGAUUUUCUGGCUGUGUUUAAGACCAAUUGGUGGGUUUUAUUAUUUUAGCUCACCUGGCCGAAAGGGCCAAGUGAGCUUUUCCCAUCACUUUGCGUCCGGCGUCCGGCGUCCGUCGUCGUCCGUCGUCCGUUGUUGUCCGUCGUCCGUCGUCGUUAACUUUUACAAAAAUCUUCUCCUCUGAAACUACUUCGUCAAAUUAAACCAAACUUGGCCACAAUCAUCAUUGGGGUAUCUAGUUUAAAAAAAUGUGUCAAGUGACCCGGCCAACCAACCAAGAUGGCCGCCAUAGCUAAAAAUAGAACAUAGGGGUAGAAUGCAGUUUUUGGCUUAUAACUCCAAAACCAAAGCAUUUAGAGCAAUCUGAGCGGGGUAAAGUUGUUAAUCAGGUAAAGAUCUAUCUGCCCUGAAAUUUUCAGAUGAAUCGGACAACCGUUGUUGGGUUGCUGCCCCUAAAUUGGUAAUUUUAAGGAAAUUUUACUGUUUUUGGUUAUUAUCUUGAAUAUUAUUAUAGAUAGAGAUAAACUGUAAACAGCAAUAAUGUUCAGCAAAGAAAGAUUUACAAAAAAGUCAAAUGACCGAAAUGGUCAGUUGACUCCUUUAAGAGUUAUUGCCCUUUAUAGUCAAUUUUUAACCAUUUUUCGUAAAUCUUAGUAUUCUUUUACAAAAAUCUUCUCCUCUGAAACUACUGGGCCAAAUUAAUCCAAACUUGGCCACAAUCAUCAUUGGGGUAUCUAGUUUAAAAAAUGCGUGGCGUGACCCUGCCAACCAACCAAGAUGGCCGCCAUGGCUAAAAAUAGAACAGAGGGGUAAAAUGUAGAUUUGGCUUAUAACUCCAAAACCAAACCAUUUAGAGCAAAUCUGACAUGGGUAAAAUUGUUAAUAAGGUAAAGAUCUAUCUGCCCUGAAAUUUUCAGAUGAAUUGGACAACCCGUUGUUGGGUUGCUUCCCCUAAAUUGGUAAUUUUAAGGAAAUUUUACUGUUUUUGGUUAUUAUCUUGAAUAUUAUUAUAGAUAGAGAUAAACUGUAAACAGCAAUAAUGUUCAGCAAAGUAAGAUUUACAAAUAAGUCAACAUGACCGAAAUGGUCAGUUGACCCCUUUAGGAGUUAUUGCCCUUUAUAGUCAAUUUUUAACCAUCUUUCGUAAAUCUUAAUAAUCUUUUACAAAAAUCUUCUCCUCUGAAACUACUGGGCCAAGUUAAUCCAAACUUGGCCGCAAUCAUCAUUGGGGUAUCUAGUUUAAAAAAUGUGUGGCGUGACCCUGCCAACUGACCAAAAUGGCCACCAUGGCUAAAAAUAGAACAUAGGGGUAAAAUGUAGAUUUUGUCUUAUAACUCUAAAACCAAAGCAUUUAGAGCAAAUCUGACAGAGGUAAAAUAAUCUAUUUGGUCAAGAUCUAUCUGCCCUGAAAUUUUCAGACAAAUCGGACAACCCGUUGGUUGGUUGCUGCCCCUGAAUUAGUAAUUUUAAGGAAAUUUUGCAGUUUUUUCUUAUUAUCUUGAAUAUAAUUAUAGAUAGAGAUAAACUGUAAACAGCGAUAAUGUUCAGCAAAGUAAGAUUUACAAAUAAGUCAACAUGACCAAAAUGGUCAGUUGACCCCUUAAGGAGUUAUUGCCCUUUAUAGUCAUUUUUUUACCACUUUUUCGUAGUAUUUUGUAAUCUUUUAGAAAAAUCUUCUCCUCUGAAACUACUGGACCAAGUUUAACCAAACUUGGCCACAAUUAUCAUUGGAGUAUCUUGUUUAAAAAAUGUGUGGGGUGAUCGGGCCAACCAACCAAGAUAGUGGCUAUGACUAAAAAUAGAACAUAGGGGUAAAAUGUAGAUUUAGGCUUAUAAUUCUGAAACCAAAGCAUUUAGAGCAAAUCUGACUAAGUUAAAUUGUUAAUCAAGUCAAGAUCUAUCUGCCCUGAAAUUUUCAGACGAAUCAGACAACUGGUUGUUGGAUUGCUGCCCCUGAAUUAGUAAUUUUUAAAGAAAUUUUACCGUUUUUGGUUAUUAUCUUGAAUAUUUAUAUAGAUAGAGAUAAACUGUUAACAUCAAUAAAGUUCAGCAAAGUCAGAUCUACAAAUAGGUCAACAUGACCAAAAUUGUCAGUUGACUCCUUAAGGAGUUAUUGCCCUUUAUAGUCAAUUUACAAAAUAUUUUCUCUGUUACUAAUGGGCCAAGUUCAUUGUAGAUAGAGAUAAUUGUAAGUAGCAAGAACGUUCAGUAAAGUAAGAACUUCAAACACAUCACCAUCUGACACCAAAACACAAUUUUGUCAUGAAUCCAUCUGUGUCCUUUGUUUAAUAUGGACAAACACCAAGGUGAGCGACAAAGGCUCUUUAGAGCCUCUAGUUUACUCUUUGUUUCGGUUAUUGUCUCAAAAACAUUUCCCAUUUCUACUCUCAAUUUAUACUAAAAUAAUAAAGAAUACGGCAAUGAAGGAGACCCCUUCCACGCCCUCAUUAAUACAAAAAACUGUUCUAGUAGAUAUCUCGAGGCCGAUAUGGGAGUGUCGGGAUGAUACCAGGCCCAAUAUGGAAAAGGGCAUGUUAUAAUCUAUACUUAUUUGUCACUAUAUGAUGUUAUAAAAUAAAUAUUUAUGAAAAGAUGAUUUAGCAUGAAGUGCUGACAACCGGGAAGACAUUGAAGAAACGUUCUAUUCCUUUUCAGUCUGUUCGUUUCAUGCCUUAUUGAGAGAUUUGUAUUUAAAAAAAGAAAUAAACACAUGUGCUUAUUAUAUUUAUUUGCAUUUACUAAUAUCACUGCUCACGGCAAAUGUUCAUAUUAUAAGUUCGAUUGUCAUUAUGCAAAUCACUGAGCAAUAAUGAUUGUGUCUCAGUAAGAAAACAUGACUAUAUAAAAAAGAAGAUGUGGUAUGAUUGCCAAUGAGACAACUAUCCACAAAAGACCAAAAUGACACAGACAUUAACAACUAUAGGUCAGGCCAAAUAAAAAUAUAUGUGUGGUUCCAGUAACCCUGCCGUCCCUACUUUUUCGACUUAAAAAAAGCCUACCCUAAAGAUUUUAUUGUCAUUUUUCAUUAAGCACUGUUAAAGUCAGAAUGUUGCUCCCAUAGACUCAAUGUAAAAAAAAACCAACAUAAAAUAAAAAAAAAAUCCUACCUACCUACCCUAACUUUUUUUCAGAUGUAACUGGAACCACACAUACUUUUUUAUUUGGCCUCACCGUACGGCCUUCAACAAUGAGCAAAGCCCAUACCGCAUAGUCAGCUAUAAAAGGCCCCGAUAAGACAAUGUAAAACAAU